RNA transcript from Zingiber officinale, 6298 nucleotides. RefSeq lists it as uncharacterized. The record is from RefSeq and is a predicted model, not a curated record. NCBI's taxonomy places the organism in Eukaryota, Viridiplantae, Streptophyta, Magnoliopsida, Zingiberales, Zingiberaceae. The transcript is spliced from 2 exons.
AUCUUCCAGAUGAUUAUGAUGUGGUGUCAGUAGAUCUUGAGGAAACAGACAGUGACACAAUUUGCAGUAUUUCUGAAGGAGAAAUUAACACAGAACAAUAUUGCAGCAUGGUAACUAGUUCUCUACGUGAAACAUUAUUUAUGCUAAUAGGGGAAACCCAUGGAUGGCAGGUUCAGGUAGACAUACCAGACGAACAAUACUACUGCGAACAUGAAUGACAACUAAAUCAGGAAAUUGAUUCCCAAUUCCUCAUAUGCACAUUCUGCAAGAUGAAAACCACGCAAAGAGCAAGAGGCCACUCCAUGAAUUGUAAGUUAACAACAUGUACUCUAUGCGCAGGAUAUUAUUUAAAACCAUCCUUAAGGCCAUCACCACCACCAACGGUACAGUAUGAUGAUAGAAAUUUGAUUUCUGAACUUGUCAAUUAUACCAGUAUUUGUUAGCAGAAAAUAGGAGGUUGCAGAAUUAACUAACUAGAGUAUUGAGAAGGAAUCAAGACUCAGAAAAUCAAUUGACAAAAGAAUUAUUGGAAGAUCUACAACAAUUAUCAAUCGAAGAUCUUCAUAAGGGAAUAAAAGAGAGUUGGAGCAUUUGCCGUAGCAUUGGAAACAGUUAACAAGUCUCUCUCAGAUGCAAUCUGCCCCAUUUCACGAGGAAAGUUAGAUGUUGAUAGUCAAGCUGCCAGUCUGAUUUAUUCGGACAAUGAUACUGAUCUGGUAAUGACGAGGGACCCCACCGAAGGAGUGUCAAAAUCGCCAAGACUAGAUGAUACGGAGUGUACGCUCGAGCAGAUCACCCGAGUGGGCUACAUGUGGUCGAGCGGACUAUAUACGCCUGAGCAGACUACAUGCGGCCGAGCAGACUAUAUACACCCAAGCAGGCUACAUGGGGCCGAGUAGGCUAUAUACGCUCGAGCAGGCUACAUACACCCGAGCAGGCUAUAAUACGAUCGAGCAGAUCACCCGAGGGGCUCCUCGCGGGUCAAGCAAGUAUCUUAUUACAUCAUUUGGGAGUGAGUGCCGCUGGCUUACAGGAUUGCUCCAGCUGGCGGAGAGUACCUUAGAAGCUUCCAACCAUCUUGUCAGAAGAUGGUUGGUUUGUCCAAGGAAUAGUGUCAGGGACACUUUCUAGAGUUGUCCUUUCAUAAAACAUCUGGGAAAACACGCCUAUACUUUGAGAUGCAUGCAUAGACAUUACAAUGGCUCUAUAAAAGGGGCGUUCCCUUCCACAGCAACGGUAUGCACAGCUUCAUUUCUUUACAUGCUUUAUCUACAUUUUUUCCACUAUUAUGUUUCGUCAGAUUUUUUUUUUUUUUUUGAUAAAAGGUAAAUUAUCAUAUAGAUGGAGCGAAAGAAUGUACAGCAACCUAUGGCGCAUAGGUCCUCGUCCGUCAUAUCCGGACCAAUGCCAGAUCGGAAUGAAAAUCCUUAAGGCCGCCGAAUGAUAUAAUGCCGCACAAGGCUAGACAUUGGUAUCGCAACACUAGGUUGAUGUACGCAGACACCAACCGUCAUCACAAGUACAUAAGAUUUCGGGCAGAAGCCCAACUGUACAAUCAUACAAACAAGCAAUACUGUCACUCAUAACUGUAGCUGCAUAGAAUCCACCGUGUCCUCCUUGGCUCCCCAUCUCCGCGAGCUGAUGCCGACCAAACUCCAUGCCCGAGACACAAUGCUAACCCCAUUGCUCCUCAAAUGACAACUCCGUGAUGAAGAGGAGUUGCCACUGAAUCCAAUGUGCCCUCAGCUCUGUCCUCACUAAUGCCGCCGGAAUCCUUAAGGAUUUGUUGGUCACCGGAAGAAACUGUUGUCGAUAGUACUCUGUGAAAACAUGCCUUCCUACCAGCCAAUGGGCACCAUGGCGGACCAGACCAUUGCCCUUCACUCCCGGUCUCCGCAACCACAGCGGGACAUCUUCUCGGCUCGACACUGACGUUCCUUGUGCUUGCAGGACCAGCGAAGAGUCUUCAUCGAGUCAACCAAUGGGCCAUGCCCCCUGCCCACCAUCUCAGAUUUUGGACAAAAUCAUAUUGGUGCCAUAUGCGAGAACGUAGCCUGUAUCCAAAACGUGAAGAUGGAGGACAUUAGACGGCUCACAACUGUAAACACUAACACAAGAGGAUCUGGGGGCGUUGAUAUAGUUUCGAGCGACGAUAAUGUUUCAGUAGUAGCUGGAAGCAGUGGGCGAUGACCGAGUGUCCAAGGACCCAGCUGCAUUGGAUCCAGGUUAGCCACCUGACCAUGGGUCCCGAGCAGACAACCUGCCUGAUCGACGACAUGUAGCCGGACAAUAGGUGCUGAUCAGCAGGCGCCUAACGCACCGAUCCCAUAACAUCGAGUGCUGUUUCACUCCCAUAGAAGAACAAGGCCGAGCGGAAAGAAUGCAACGAUUAUCUAGCGAAGACAUGGCCGCUUGGGAUAACUGAAAGGAUAAGGCCCUCCUGCUUGAAGACUCUCCUGAGCGGGUCAAUCGGCAAUUCUGUCAUGCAAUUCACAAUGACGAGUUGCCGUUGAACUUCAGACCGUCGACGAUCGAGAAGUACAAUGGGUCAACUGACCCGGAGGACCAUUUGCUUGAGUUCGACAUUGUAUCCACUCCACCAAUACUCGGACGGAGUCAAGUGCCUAGUCUUCCUUACCACUCUUUCGGGGUCGGCGCAGAGGUGGUUCCAGCGAUUGCGGAUCGGUUCUAUUCACAGCUUCAGAGACUUCCGAGCAACAUUCACGCAACACUUUUCUAGCAGCCAUCAUUACCAAAAGAUGGAAGUAAACCUCUUCAAAGUCAAGUAAGGGCCAAAGAAGCCGCUCAAGGCCUAUAUUAAGAGGUUCAAUCAGGUGGUUAUGGAGGUCCUGACGACUACCCAGGAAGUGCUGUGUAGCGCGUUCUCUUAGGCACUCACGGAGGGCGAUUUUUUCGCUCGCUCGUCAUAGAGUCCCCAAAGGACUUUGAUGAGUUGCUCGGACGAGCAAUGAAGUUUAUCAAUGUCGAGGAGGCAGGCGGCUCGGAAGAGAGACGCGACUGUCGAGCUUGUUAUUACUCAGGAGCGCGAAGCGACACACAAUAAUCCUCCCCCAAUGGGACCUCGAUCGGGCACGACGAAUCAGCAUAUGGAGCACCAAGUGCAUGCCGUGCAACAUGUAGAGACCAAACGGAAGAAGGUUAAAGAACCUCGACAAUGGAUUCGUAUGUUUUGCUCGUUGCAUAAAACGGUGACUCACAAUAUGAGGGACUGCUACUACUUCAAUCCCCCACCGGACUGCCCCUCUCAGCAAGGCGUUCAACGCCGAUCUCCAAGACCCGAGCGCCGACACUAUUGCCGAGCGGAUGCGCAGCACGGGCGGGAUUGCGCACAUGUCGAGGCAGCUCAAAGGCGAUCAUAGUCGAGGCAUGGCGACAGAUCUGCCCAGGUGUCUUCGGAAAGGUCGCGUAUAUCCACGCAAGAGGAAGAACAUAAAAGGAAAGCCGCUCGGGGCGACAUUAGAUGAGUGUGUGGGGCCCGAUGGAUGGCGAUUCUAACGGGGCGCGGAAGUCGCAUGCCCGAAAGUUAGGCUCAUAACGUUUAGGCAUAAAAGCACAGGAGCCACCUACUAGAUGUUGAUGAACAAAGUGUGCUGGUAGCACACCGAUAGAAAUAUGGAGAGAAAAUAUGCCGAACAUUGGAGAAAUUUGGAGUUAGAUUGAAUUUGGCCAAGUGCCUGUUUGUUGCCAGAAACAGGCGCUUCCUUGAUUAUAUUGUAAUUGAGAGGGGAAUUGAGGCUAACUAAGUUGGAAAACUUAGCUCAGACUCUUAUUGUCUGCAAAACGAAAGCGGGAGGAAUUUGGAACGACCAUGGAGCGUGAGCCACCUACAGCCUUGCUGGGUUGGAUAGUAAGUGCGAAAUUGAAUUCAUGUAAUUUGUAGAAAUAUAUGUUGCAUGAAUAUAGGGGAAUUUGAAAGAAAUCUCUAAAAUACUCAAAGCUCAUGUGCCGAGCGGUCGUGUUAUAAGUGGGCAUGCCCCACGCCAAGUGUGACAGACUCACGCGCCCGAGCGACCGUGUUAUAAGUGAGCCUAGCUAGCUAUGUCCAGUGUCAGAUACUCUUGUGCCGAGCGACCAUAUUAUAAAUGGACAUGCCCCCACACCAAGUGUCAAAGACUCACGCGUCAAAGUGACCUUAUUAUAAGUGAGCCUGGCUAACCACGCCUAGUGUGAGAGACUCUUGUGCCGAGUGAUCAGGUUUGAACUCAAUGCUUACGUGCCGAGUGGCCGUGUUAUAAAUGGGCAUGCUCCCACGCCAAGUGUCAAAUAUUCACGCGCCUGAGCGGUCGUAUUAUAAGUGAGCUUUGCUAGCCACGCCUAGUGUUAGAAGAUUCAUAUGCCGAGCGACCAGGUUUGAACUUAAGGCUCACGUGCUGAGCGGCCGUGUUAUAUGUGGACAUGCCCCCAUGCCAAGUGUCAAACACUCAUGCGCCCGAGCGGUUGUGUUAUAAGUGAGCUUAGCUAGCCACGCUCGGUGCUAGGGACUCCUGUGCCGAGCAGCCAGGUUUGAACUCAAGGCUCACGUGCCGAGCGAUUGUGUUAUAAGUGAGCAUGUCCUCACGCCAAGUGUCAGACACGCGCUCGAGAGACUGUGUUAUAAGUGAGCCUAGCUAGCCACGUCUAGUGUCAGAGACUUCUGUGUCAAGCAGCCAGGUUUGAACUCAAGGCUCACGUGCCGAGUGGCCAUGUUAUAAGUGGGCGUGCCCCACGCCAAGUGUUAAAAACUCAUGUGCUCGAGCGACCGUGUUAUAAGUGAGCCUAGCUAGCCACGCUCGGUGCUAGAGACUCCUGUGCCGAGCGGCUAGGUUUGAUCUGAAGGCUCACGUGUCGAGCAGCCGUGUUAUAAGUGGGCAUGCCCCUACGCCAAGUGUCAAAGACUCACGCGCCCGAGCGAUCGUGUUAAAAGUGAGCCUACUAGCCACGCCUGGUGUUAAAGAUUAAUGCGCCGAGCGACUAGGUUUAAUUCUAAGCUCACAUACUCGCGUGGUCGGGAGCAGCUGAGUGAUGCCCACAAACUCCAGGCCUUCGACAGCCAAGCAACAUACCAAAACCCGGGAAGGCGAACGAUAAGGCACACUAAUGGUCCAGUCAUUCGGACGUACAACCUCCUUCGACUAGAUUUGAGGGAAAGACUUGUGAUCCGAUAAUAACGAGAGAUCCCACCGAAGGAGAGUCAAAGUCGCGAAGACCGGAUGAUAUGGAGGGUACGACGAGCAAAUCACCCGAGCGGGCUUCAUGUGGCCGAGCGAGCUACAUGCGCCCGAGCAGACUACACGCCCCCAGCAGACUACACGCGGUUGAGCAGGCUACAUAUGCCCAAGCGGAGUACAUGUGCCCGAGCAGGCUACACGCUCCCGAGCAGACUACACGUGGCUGAGCGGCUACAUGCGACCGAGCAGGCUACACGUGGCCGAGCAGGCUACAACACGACCGAGCAGAUCACCCAAGCGACUCUGCAUGGGCCAAGCAUCUUAUCACAUUCUUCUGGGAGUGGGUGCCGUUGAUAGCAGGAUUGUUCCAGUUGGCGAAGAGUACCUUAAAAGCUUUCAGCCGUCUUGUCAGGAGAUGGUUGAUUUUUUAAGGAAUAGUGUCAGGGACACUUUUUGGAAUUGUCCUUUCAUAGAACAUUUGGGAAGACGUGCCUGUACUUUGAGAUGCUUGCACAGGUGUUACAAUAGCUUUAUAGAAGGUGGGUCCCCUUCCACAACGGCGGUAUACGUAAUUUCAUUUCUUUACACGCUCUAGUUAUGGUUUUUUCACUAUUCUGUUUCAUUGGAAAACUGACUUAAGCGUUAGAAGGUUAAUGCCGGGAACUCUUUUUUGACUCGGCACUGACAUUCCUUGUGUUUGUAGCAUCAGUGAGGAGUCCAUCGAGUCAAUCAGUGUGUCAUGUUGCUAGUUCACCAUCUGUUCAUAUUUUGGACAGGAUCAGAUAUAUUGGAGAGCAACAGGAUGUCUUCUGAUGUCAGCCGUCAAAAAAGAGAACUUGUUUCUGAGCAGCAACUGUGUUACGGGAGCUUCAAGCUACUCUACAAGUGCAAAAUUUAGUUAGAGCUGGCCAGCAUGUGAAUGCUUUGCUGAAAUCGUCAAAAUCCCAUUCCUCCCGUUAAAUCCUGUGGUACCUGAUGUUUCAUAUGAUAUCCAUAGUUUGUCUGCCUACGUACAAGCAUGUGUGCGAGAUAUCCUCAAAAUCACUCUUGUUUGUCUGGAAGAUGUUAGAGAUUCUGAUGGAACAUUACGCACUUUAAAGUCUAAGGUUAGUACAGUGUGUUUUAAUAAU